AAGACUAUACUUUCAGGGAUCAUUUCUAUAGUCCUUGACUUGAGAAAUGCUUUUCUAAAGUUGAUGGUCUCGCUGACCACGAUGAAGAGUUGGUGAUACUCCUUCCUGAGCGCGAAGCGGGCGGAGAGACUUGAUUCACUUCAUACGCUCUCUGCCUUUGAUGACCGUUCACUGCCUCCUCUGGGGGGCGAUGAGGGAAGGAGUAUGAUCAGAGUGGU
Molecule: small nucleolar RNA, 218 nt
Organism: Parambassis ranga (Indian glassy fish)
Lineage: Eukaryota; Metazoa; Chordata; Actinopteri; Ambassidae
Gene: U3
Rfam family: Small nucleolar RNA U3
About the family: Small nucleolar RNAs (snoRNAs) are involved in the processing and modification of rRNA in the nucleolus.
Source: Ensembl